GGAGAGGUGCCGGAGCGGCCGAACGGGGCGCCCUGCUAAGGCGUUGACCAUUUUGUGGUUCGUGGGUUCAAAUCCCACCCUCUCCGCCA
This 89-nucleotide transfer RNA is filed under the name Acidimicrobiia bacterium. Its description in RNAcentral is "tRNA-Ser". It matches the Rfam family "tRNA". From Rfam's summary of the family: Transfer RNA (tRNA) molecules are approximately 80 nucleotides in length. Their secondary structure includes four short double-helical elements and three loops (D, anti-codon, and T loops). RNAcentral also lists the same sequence under 2 other names. The record is from RNAcentral. Lineage: Bacteria; Bacillati; Actinomycetota; Acidimicrobiia.